RNAcentral lists this ribosomal RNA (454 nucleotides) under uncultured bacterium. RNAcentral's name for it is "bacterial SSU rRNA". It matches the Rfam family "Bacterial small subunit ribosomal RNA", at positions 340 to 786 of the family's 1533-position model. The record is from RNAcentral.
UACGGGAGGCAGCAGUGGGGAAUAUUGCACAAUGGGCGCAAGCCUGAUGCAGCCAUGCCGCGUGUAUGAAGAAGGCCUUCGGGUUGUAAAGUACUUUCAGUCGUGAGGAAGGUGUUAAGGUUAAUAACCUUAGCAAUUGACGUUAGCGACAGAAGAAGCACCGGCUAACUCCGUGCCAGCAGCCGCGGUAAUACGGAGGGUGCGAGCGUUAAUCGGAAUUACUGGGCGUAAAGGGCACGCAGGCGGUUAAUUAAGUUGGAUGUGAAAUCCCCGGGCUUAACCUGGGAAUGGCAUUCAAGACUGGUUAGCUAGAGUCUUGUAGAGGGGGUUAGAAUUCCAUGUGUAGCGGUGAAAUGCGUAGAGAUGUGGAGGAAUACCGGUGGCGAAGGCGGCCCCUGGACAAAGGCUGACGCUCAUGUGCGAAAGCGUGGGGAGCAAACAGGGAUUAGAUACC